Molecule: transfer RNA, 73 nt
Filed under: Sargassum horneri
Lineage: Eukaryota; Phaeophyceae; Fucales; Sargassaceae
Description: tRNA-Asn
Rfam family: tRNA
About the family: Transfer RNA (tRNA) molecules are approximately 80 nucleotides in length.
Source: RNAcentral
UCUUCAAUAGCUCAAUUGGUAGAGCAUAUGGCUGUUAACCAUAGCGUUGUUGGUUCGAGUCCAAUUUGGGGAG